GCGCCAGUAGCUUAAUGGAUAGAGCAUCUGACUACGGAUCAGAAGGUUGGGGGUUCGAGUCCCUCCUGGCGCG
This 73-nucleotide transfer RNA is filed under the name Propionibacteriaceae bacterium. Its description in RNAcentral is "tRNA-Arg". It matches the Rfam family "tRNA". From Rfam's summary of the family: Transfer RNA (tRNA) molecules are approximately 80 nucleotides in length. Their secondary structure includes four short double-helical elements and three loops (D, anti-codon, and T loops). The record is from RNAcentral. Lineage: Bacteria; Bacillati; Actinomycetota; Actinomycetes; Propionibacteriales; Propionibacteriaceae.